AACGAACGCUGGCGGCAGGCCUAACGCAUGCAAGUCGAACGCUCGUAGCAAUACGAGAGUGGCAGACGGGUGAGUAACACGUGGGAACCUUCCCUAUGGUUCGGAAUAGCUCAGGGAAACUUGGGGUAAUACCGGAUAAGCCCUUCGGGGGAAAGAUUUAUCGCCAUUGGAUGGGCCCGCGUCGGAUUAGCUAGUUGGUGGGGUAACGGCCUACCAAGGCGACGAUCCGUAGCUGGUCUGAGAGGAUGAUCAGCCACACUGGGACUGAGACACGGCCCAGACUCCUACGGGAGGCAGCAGUGGGGAAUAUUGGACAAUGGGCGCAAGCCUGAUCCAGCCAUGCCGCGUGAGUGACGAAGGUCUUCGGAUUGUAAAGCUCUUUUGGCGGGGACGAUAGUGACGGUACCCGCAGAAUAAGCCCCGGCUAACUUCGUGCCAGCAGCCGCCGUAA
This 451-nucleotide ribosomal RNA is filed under the name uncultured bacterium. Its description in RNAcentral is "partial 16S ribosomal RNA". It matches the Rfam family "Bacterial small subunit ribosomal RNA", at positions 29 to 523 of the family's 1533-position model. The record is from RNAcentral.